GUGGGCUACAUGUGAUGCUGAUCUGCAGCUAUAGACUUUUUGCAAACACGUGACCACGACCACGUGAAGACGCCAUGACGGACGGCCGAAUCACCGCAAGUACAAGCUAAACAGUUGUAGAUGAGCGGAAAGUUACAUUAGUUACAAUGAGUUUAAAAUAAAUAACA
This is a long non-coding RNA of Etheostoma cragini (Arkansas darter), 167 nucleotides long. RefSeq lists it as uncharacterized. NCBI's taxonomy places the organism in Eukaryota, Metazoa, Chordata, Actinopteri, Perciformes, Percidae. The record is from RefSeq and is a predicted model, not a curated record. The transcript has 3 exons.